RNAcentral lists this ribosomal RNA (918 nucleotides) under uncultured bacterium. RNAcentral describes it as "bacterial SSU rRNA". It matches the Rfam family "Bacterial small subunit ribosomal RNA", at positions 9 to 873 of the family's 1533-position model. The record is from RNAcentral.
AGAGUUUGAUCCUGGCUCAGGAUGAACGCUGGCGGCGUGCUUAACACAUGCAAGUCGAACGGAAACAUAGAGAACCUUGCUUCUUUGAUGACGAGUGGCGGACGGGAGAGUAACGCUUGCGAAUCGACCUUAUGGAGGGGAUUAACUACGGGAAACUGUGCUUAAUACCGGUACGAAUCAUGGGAUGAAUCUGUGAUGACUUCGGGUGGCCUCUAUGUGAUUCUAUCGCUGAUGGUAGGGAGUGCGUCUGAUUAGUUAGUUGGAGGGGGAAUGGCCCACCAUGGCAAUGAUCAUUAACCGGCCAGAGAGGAUGAACGGCCACAUUGUGACUGAUACACGGCCCAACCUCCUACGGGAGGCAGCAGUGGGGAAGCUUCCGCAAUGGACGAAAGUCGGACGGAGCAACGCCGCGUGAGUGAUGAAGGUCUUCUGAUUGUAAAGCUCUGUUGAUCGGGACGAAAGAGUUCUGUGUAAAUAAUGCACAAAAGUGACGGUACCGGAAUACAAAGCCACGGCUAACUACGUGCCAGCGGCCGCGGUAAUACUUAGGUGGCAAGCGUUGUCCGGAAUUAUUGGGCGUAAAGUGCGCGCAGGCGGCCUAUCCAGUCUGUCUUCUAAGUUCUGUGCUCUACCCCGUGAUGGGACGGAAACUAGUAGGCUAGAGUGUCUCAGAGGAAAGCGGAAUUCCUAGUGUAGCGGUGAAAUGCGUAGAUAUUAUGAAGAACACCACUGGCCAAUGCGGCUCUCUGGACUACAACUGACGCUGAAGCACGAAACCAGGGGAGCGAACUGCAUUAGAUACCCCGCUAGUCCUGUCCGUAACUAUGCGUACUACCGUGUAUGACGUAUCGACCCCCUUCUGUGGCGCAGUUACUCAGUAAAGACCCCCCUGAGAGUUCGGCCCAGCCUUGAACUUCA